This 362-nucleotide RNase P RNA is filed under the name Verrucomicrobiota bacterium. RNAcentral's name for it is "RNase P RNA component class A". It matches the Rfam family "Bacterial RNase P class A". Rfam says of the family: Ribonuclease P (RNase P) is a ubiquitous endoribonuclease, found in archaea, bacteria and eukarya as well as chloroplasts and mitochondria. Lineage: Bacteria; Pseudomonadati; Verrucomicrobiota. RNAcentral also lists the same sequence under 1 other name. The record is from RNAcentral.
CGGGGUCGGAUGAGCGUUCACGGCCGCGGCGGAAGAGAGGAAAGUCCGAGCUCCAACGGGCAGGAUGCCCGCUAACGGCGGGGCGGGGUGACCCGACGGACAGUGCCACAGAAACAUACCGCCCCGAUGAGUCCCGGACGAAUCGGGGUAAGGGUGAAAAGGCGAGGUAAGAGCUCACCGCCCUGGUGGUAACAUCAGGGGCCAGGUAAACCCCAUCCGGAGCAAGGCCUAAUAGGGGGUCACGGGCGCCCGUCCCAGCCCCGGGUUGGCCGCUCGAGCCUGCCGGCAACGGCAGGCCUAGAUAGAUGGUCGCCAUCCGCCUCAGGCGGAUACAGAACUCGGCUUACAGGCUGCCUUGACCA